AUGAUAAUCCUUAGUCUGAAUUGUCGAGGUUGUGGGAAAUCUGAAACAGUUCCAGAACUCCGCUAUCUUGUGAAUUACCAUCAUCCUGAUAUCAUAUUCUUAAUGGAGACAAAGAUGAGCAAGGGGAAGUGUGAACAAUUGCAAUGGAUGAUGGGUUUUCCCCAUGGACUGUGUGUUAAGUCUGACGCGCGAAGUGGUGGUAUUGCAUUGUGGUGGAAAAAAGAAAUA
This 228-nucleotide ribosomal RNA is filed under the name Triticum aestivum (bread wheat). Its description in RNAcentral is "partial small subunit ribosomal RNA". Lineage: Eukaryota; Viridiplantae; Streptophyta; Magnoliopsida; Poales; Poaceae. The record is from RNAcentral.